This 4318-nucleotide long non-coding RNA is filed under the name Malus domestica (apple). Its description in RNAcentral is "long non-coding RNA (MDOM_LNC020370)". The record is from RNAcentral. Lineage: Eukaryota; Viridiplantae; Streptophyta; Magnoliopsida; Rosales; Rosaceae.
AUUGGAAUUGGCAAUUGGGUGGAAUUGUUGAUUCAAAAGGCAUCUCUCCUGUGAGCAAGCAAUGCUAUGUGAGAGUUUCUUUCUCUCUGUUGUGAGUAUUUCUGUGAGAUCUUCUUCCAGGCUCUUCGGUGGCAUCGAUUCUAGCUUCGAUUGGGGUCGAGUGUUGUGUCAUCUUCUUCCUUUUCUCCUUCCUUUCUCCCUACAUCCAGUGGCGGAUCCACAGUGGGGUCAAUGGGGUCGCACGACCCCUUGGAAGCCAUGGAAACAACCUUAGAGACCCUUGGAGCUGCUGGUGCGACCCCUUGGCUGCACACCAAGUGUUCGACGAAAGGUCCGAAAGAAUUCUCGGCUGGGCAAGAGGAAGACGAAGGCGCAGGCGCGCGCCUGUUUUUUUUUUUUUAAAACCUGGGCAAAACGACGUCGUUUUGGCCCAGGAAUUUUUUUAAAAUGAUCUGAACAAAAAAAAAUGCCCAGCGUGUCCUGGGCAGGUCUGAACAGAAAAAAAAAUACCGACCGUGUCCUUUUCAGCCCUAUUUCACACAGAUUCGAAGCCUUUCAUUCCAAAACCCCCAAAUUUCUUUUGUUUUCUCCUCCUCCAACCCUAAGUUCCAAACUCAAUCCCCCCUAAACCCUCAACUCCAUCUCCUCCCUUGCUGUCGCCAUUAAGGUGCCUCCAACUCCAUCUCCUCCCUUGCUCCACCAGCUUUGCUCUUUGUAUUUGCUCAUUGUUAUUGUGAAAUUUCACAAUUCAAGUAAGUUUUUAUUUUCAUUAUUUUGUAUAUGUAGAAUGCAAGAUGAGAUAUUUAAUUUAAUUGAAAUCCAAUUCAUACUUAUUUUGAUUAUGUUGAUGGUUUGUUUAUAUUGUGAGUAUUUAUUUUGAAUAUUUUGUAUAUGUAGAAUAUAUUUAAUUUAAUUGAAAUUCAAUUCAUAUUUAUUUUGAUUAUAUUGAUGGUUUGUUUAUAUUGUGAGUUUUUAUUUUCAUUAUUUUGUAUAUGUAGGAUGCAAGAUGAGAUAUUUAAUUUAAUUGAAAUCCAAUUCAUAUUUAUUUUGAUUAUGUUGAUGGUUUGUUUAUAUUGUGAGUAUUUAUUUUGAAUAUUUUGUAUAUGUAGAAUAUAUUUAAUUUAAUUGAAAUUCAAUUCAUAUUUAUUUUGAUUAUAUUGAUGGUUUGUUUAUAUUGUGAGUUUUUAUUUUCAUUAUUUUGUAUAUGUAGAAUGCAAGAUGAGAUAUUUAAUUUAAUUGAAAUCCAAUUCAUAUUUAUUUUGAUUAUGUUGAUGGUUUGUUAUAUUGUGAGUAUUUAUUUUCAUUAUUUUGUAUAUGUAGAAUUAUUAUGGAACGGUUUUUUAAAAGAAAGUCAUCAUCGGGUUCGGGUAGUUCGAAUAAUGUUGAUAGUUCAAAUACUGUUGGUAGUUCAAGAACUCCAAAUUCAAGGCAAAGUCAGUUAGAUGAUGUUUUGGGUAAUCUUGAAGCGGAUCCUGGAUUGAGAACUCGAAUAAUAGAUUAUGAUGCUAAUAUGAGAGAUGAGGUCCGAAGAUCAUAUCUACAAAAAGGACCUUGUCAACCUAGAGGUCAUAAUUUCCCAAUAACUAAUAUGUCGGGAAUUAAUCGACGCUUCAUUCCCCAAUGGUUUGAUGAGUUUGAUUGGUUGGAGUAUAGUAUAUCUAAAGAUGCGGCAUUUUGUCUCUAUUGCUAUCUCUUUAAAACCAAUUUUGCACAAGUGGGUAGUGAAGCUUUCACUGGAGAUGGAUUUAAGACUUGGAAGAAAGGGAGAGAAAGAUUUAAGAUGCAUGUUGGACCGGUUGGGAGUGUUCAUAAUAAGGCUAGAGAAGCUGCUACAAAUUUGAUGAAUCAAGCUACACAUAUUGAAACGGCAGUGAGCAAACACUCUGACCAAGCUCGUAAGGCUUAUUGCACAUGCUUGAAUGCAUCAAUCAAGUGCACUAAGUUUUUAUUGCGGCAAGGUCUUCCUUUUCGUGGCCAUGAUGAAAGUGCCACUUCAAGUAAUAGGGGAAAUUACUUGGAGCUAUUGCAAUUCCUUGCAGAUAAUAAUGAUAAAGUUAGAGAAGUUGUGAUGGAAAAUGCUCCGGGGAAUCUGAGAUUAGUAGUUCCUAGCAUUCAAAAAGAAAUUGUGAAUUCAUGUGCCCUUGAAACACUUGAUGCUAUCAUGGAUGGUCUAAAAGAUAGAUUCUUUUCAAUAUUGGUGGAUGAAGCACGUGAUGUGUCGGUGAAAGAGCAAAUGGCUAUGGUGUUGCGUUAUGUGGAUGACAACGGGCAUGUAAUUGAAAGAUUUGUGGGUAUCCAACAUGUUACCAACACUACUUCAAGUUCACUAAUGGAUGCUAUUGACACAUUAUUUUCUCGCUGCGGUUUGAGCAUUUCCAAGCUACGAGGACAAGGUUAUGAUGGUGCUAGCAAUAUGAGAGGUGAGUUGAAUGACCUUAAAACAAAGAUAUUGAGAGAACAACCUUGUGCAUAUUAUGUUUCAUUGCUUUGCUCAUCAACUUCAACUAGCUCUUGUUGCCGUAGCAAAGAAGAAUAUAGACAUUGCCUCUUUUUUUGCAACGGCUAAUAGUGUGGUUAAUCAUGUUGGAGCAUCUUGUAAGCAGCGUGAUUUACUUAGAAAGCAACUUCAAGAAGAGCUUGUGAUAGCUUUUGAAAAUGAUUGUCUUAUAACGGGGCGAGGCUUAAAUCAAGAAACAAGUCUCAAACGUGCCGGUGACACACGAUGGAACUCACACUAUGGUACCUUGAUUAGCAUCAUUUCCAUGUUUUCAUCUGUGGUUCAUGUGCUUCAAAUGGUUAUUGAUGAUAAUCCCAAUGAAAGUGCGGGUGAAGCAAAUAAGUUAAUGAGAGAUAUACGUACUUUUGAGUUUGUGUUUCACCUUUUCUUGAUGAAAGUCAUAUUGGGACUCACAAAUGAUUUGUCACAAGCAUUGCAAAGGAAAGAUCAAGAAAUUGUGAAUGCAAUAACUUUAGUGAAAUCAUGCAAGGAAAGGCUACAUUGGAUGAGGAAUAAUGGGUUUGAUGCAUUGGUUGAUGAAGUAUCUUCUUUUUGUGAAAAACAUUAUAUUGAUAUUCCUAACAUGGAAGAGGCAUUUAUACUUCCAGGGAGGUCAAGGCGUAAUGCUCCAAUAAAGACAAAUCGUCAUCAUUAUUGUGUGGAGCUCUUUAUUUAUGUCAUUGAUGAGCAAAUUACGGAGUUAGAGGAUUGCUUUAAUGAGGUAAAUACAGAGUUGCUUAUUUGUUUGGCAUGUUUGAGUCCGAAAGAUUCAUUUGUAGCUUUUGAUAAACCAAAGUUACUUCGUCUUGCUCAAUUUUAUCCUCAAGACUUUUCGGAUGAGGAUCAUUUGGCACUUGAAGAUCAACUUGAGAUUUUUAUUCAUUAUGUGCGUUCCAGUAGUGAUUUCUCUCAAUUGGAAGGGAUUGGUGAUCUUGCAAAAAAAAUGGUGGAGACAAGGAUGCAUCAAGUAUUCAACUAUGUAUAUUUGCUCAUUACAUUGUCUUUAGUUUGACCAGUUGCAACUGCUUCAGUGGAGAGAGCUUCUGUCAUGAAUAUUGUUAAGGGUCCACUUAGGAACAAAAUGGGAGAUCAAUGGUUGAGUGAUAGCUUGCUUGUUUUAUUUGAGAGAGAUAUUUUUGCUUGUAUUGAAAAUGAAGCUAUAAUGCUUCGUUUUCAAAAUAUGAAACCUCGUCGUGGACAAUUAUAGCUUGUAAUAUUGUUUCCGUUAUGAAUUAUGAAUGAAACUACUAUGAUUUCAUUUUCAAAAUGUUUUUCCAUCCUAAAUUUUUUUUUGAACUUUUACAUUAUGACCCCUUGUGGUAAGAUUCCUGGCUCCGCCACUGCCUACAUCUACUGUUGGUUCUCCCCAAUUUUCAAUUCGGCCUUUUCAAUUCCUCCAACUUUGUGGGUUCUCUUCUUCCUGAUUCUUCCUUACUUUGUUUUUCAACCAUGUCUUUUGUCGAGAUCUUGUGUAGAGUUCCGGCGCUUGGACCGGCUCGAGUUUGUUCCACACCACCAUGUUCUCCAUUGUGUUUGCUGCUUGCGGCAGUGUUGCUCGGGACUUGUUCUGAGCUUCCAACUGGUGAUUGGCCUCUCUCGCUUGGAUGCCAGUUACCCAUAACUUAUGGUUGUGCGCAUGAGACGUCAGUGAAGAAGAUGAUUGGCGAUUGUCGGGGAAUCGGAUGGUUGACAAUUCCUUGGAUCGUCGGUGGAGAAGGCAGUGAUGCUUCUAAGAUGUUCUUAGGUUUUGGGCUCAUUUUCUGUUUUUGUUGUUUUCUUUCUGUUUAGGCCCUUUUUGGUUGUGUAUAGGUGUAGUUGGAC